Molecule: ribosomal RNA, 320 nt
Filed under: uncultured eukaryote
Lineage: Eukaryota
Description: partial 18S ribosomal RNA
Rfam family: Eukaryotic small subunit ribosomal RNA
Source: RNAcentral
CCCCUAGAUGUUCUGGGCCGCACGCGCGCUACACUGAACAGUUCAACAAGUCUUAACCUUGGCCGAUAGGUCUGGGUAAUAUUUGAACGCUGUUCGUGAUUGGGAUAGACCUUUGCAAUUAUGGGUCUUCAACGAGGAAUUCCUAGUAAACGCAAGUCAUCAGCUUGCAUUGAUUACGUCCCUGCCCUUUGUACACACCGCCCGUCGCACCUACCGAUUGAAUGGUCCGGUGAAAUCUCGGGACGGCGGCUUGGUCGCUUGCGUCCGACUGCUGAAACUUGAUUAAACCAUAUCAUUUAGAGGAAGGUGAAGUCGUAACA